Acanthosepion pharaonis is the source of this 100-nucleotide non-coding RNA. NCBI's taxonomy places the organism in Eukaryota, Metazoa, Mollusca, Cephalopoda, Sepiida, Sepiidae. The record is from the annotation of a GenBank genome assembly.
GUUGAUACACCGGUUCUCGUACGAUCAACAAAAGUUAAGCAACGUUGAACCUCGUCAGUACCUAGAUGGGAGACCGCUUGGUAAUACCAGAUGCUGUAAG